AUUGAACGCUGGCGGCAGGCCUAACACAUGCAAGUCGAGCGGGAUUUACCUUCGGGUAAUGAGAGCGGCGGACGGGUGAGUAAUGCUUGGGAAUCUACCUAGUAGUGGGGGACAACAGUUGGAAACGACUGCUAAUACCGCAUACGCCCUACGGGGGAAAGGGGGGGAUCUUCGGACCUCUUGCUAUUAGAUGAGCCCAAGUCGGAUUAGCUAGUUGGUGGGGUAAAGGCCUACCAAGGCGACGAUCCGUAGCUGGUUUGAGAGGAUGAUCAGCCACACUGGGACUGAGACACGGCCCAGACUCCUACGGGAGGCAGCAGUGGGGAAUAUUGGACAAUGGGCGCAAGCCUGAUCCAGCCAUGCCGCGUGUGUGAAGAAGGCCCUAGGGUUGUAAAGCACUUUAAGUAGGGAGGAAGGUCUGGUAAUUAAUACUUAUCAGGAUUGACGUUACCUACAGAAUAAGCACCGGCUAACUCCGUGCCAGCAGCCGCAGUAA
This 496-nucleotide ribosomal RNA is filed under the name uncultured bacterium. Its description in RNAcentral is "partial 16S ribosomal RNA". It matches the Rfam family "Bacterial small subunit ribosomal RNA", at positions 30 to 523 of the family's 1533-position model. The record is from RNAcentral.